UACGUAGGUGGCGAGCGUUAUCCGGAAUUAUUGGGCGUAAAGAGCGCGCAGGUGGUUGAUUAAGUCUGAUGUGAAAGCCCACGGCUUAACCGUGGAGGGUCAUUGGAAACUGGUCGACUUGAGUGCAGAAGAGGGAAGUGGAAUUCCUGGUGUAGCGGUGGAAUGCGCAGAGAUCAGGAGGAAUACCGAAGGCGAAGGCAGUCUUCCAAGCCGUUAUUGACGCUCAACUGCGAAGGUGUGGGUAUCAAACAGGAUUAGAUACCCCGGUAGU
This 271-nucleotide ribosomal RNA is filed under the name uncultured prokaryote. RNAcentral describes it as "partial 16S ribosomal RNA". It matches the Rfam family "Bacterial small subunit ribosomal RNA", at positions 524 to 794 of the family's 1533-position model. The record is from RNAcentral.